This 254-nucleotide ribosomal RNA is filed under the name uncultured bacterium. Its description in RNAcentral is "partial 16S ribosomal RNA". It matches the Rfam family "Bacterial small subunit ribosomal RNA", at positions 524 to 776 of the family's 1533-position model. The record is from RNAcentral.
UACGGGGGGAGCAAGCGUUGUUCGGAUUUACUGGGCGUAAGGGGCGCGUAGGCGGCCAGCACAAGUCAGUUGUGAAAUCUCCGAGCUUAACUCGGAAAGGUCAACUGAUACUGUGCGGCUAGAGUGCGGAAGGGGCAACUGGAAUUCUUGGUGUAGCGGUGAAAUGCGUAGAUAUCAAGAGGAACACCUGUGGCGAAGGCGCCUUGCUGGCCGAUUUCUGACGCUGAGGCGCGAAAGCGUGGGGAGCAAACAGG